RNAcentral lists this transfer RNA (90 nucleotides) under Gammaproteobacteria bacterium. Its description in RNAcentral is "tRNA-Ser". It matches the Rfam family "tRNA". From Rfam's summary of the family: Transfer RNA (tRNA) molecules are approximately 80 nucleotides in length. Their secondary structure includes four short double-helical elements and three loops (D, anti-codon, and T loops). The record is from RNAcentral. Lineage: Bacteria; Pseudomonadati; Pseudomonadota; Gammaproteobacteria.
GGAGAAGUGGCUGAGUGGUUUAAAGCGAUCGUUUGCUAAACGAGCGGGGCGUAAUGUCCCUCCCAGGUUCGAAUCCUGGCUUCUCCGCCA